GAAAAGACCAAAAUGCCCUUAAGCGGGACUAAGGGGUGAAAAUUUAACAAUUGGAUUUACAUUAGUAUGUUUAAAGUUGUGUUUGGGAUUUAAGUAGGGCCUCCUACCCUGAUUCCCUCCCCAUUUCCCGUAUGUACUCUCUCUCUUCCUCAGACCUCACUUUCUCUCUCCCUCUCCUUCGAACUCACACGGACCACCACAAAACCACCCUAAAUCUAUACCAACGUCAAGUUUGAGACCACCAUUGGAAUCCUGAGGACUUCACGAUCACGUUGGUAUCCAUUUCAGGUAAGUUUUGCUUCGGAAAACCCCUAGUUUCAAAGUUCCCGUGAAGAGCACUGUUCAUGAUCUUCGAAUUGGCUUUGUUUUAGGUGAAACCAAGCUCACAGUGAGCUUAAGGAAGUCCCAAGGAAGCUCGGAGUGCUUCGUUGGAAGUUUUUGGACGUAAGAACACGGAGAUCGACAAGUUCAAAGUUUGGCCGGAACUUUCGAGGCAUUUUCCGGCGAAUCCCCGGCGAGUUAGAAGUCGAGGUAGAUAUCAAUCUCUUCGUCUCGUCAAGUACUACAACUUUCCUUUUUGUUUCACUCAAUUUCGUUGAGUAUUGAAGAAGUUAUACUCAUUUGAAAAAUACCCAGUUUCCGGCGACCUCCGAGGCUUUCGAGGACGUUUCCGGCCAAACCACGGCGAACUAGGUGUUGUGCAAGGUACCAUUCUCUUUGUCUCUUCAAGGGAUACAACUUUUGUUUUUGAAUCACUUGAUUUCGUUGAGAAAUGACAAAGUUAUGGCAAUUUGAAAAACUGCCCAGAAAACGGCCGCCGGAAAAACCAGUCCGGCGACUCAAGGAAGAAGAAGGUGCGCGUGGGGGCGCGUGGACCCGUGCCUUCCUUGGCGCGUGGGGCGCGUGCUACAAAAAAAAUUAAUCUAAAAAUAUGUCGACGUCCGUGACGUCGAGUAGAUCACCGUGGUAUAUUCAUAUACCCAAUUUGAGCAAUAUAUGAGGAGUUAUUAGCUAAGAGUGGGAUUAUGCGUUAAAUAAUGUUAAUUUGGUUACUUCUCUUAUAGGCGAGGAUUAUACGGACGUUGGGCAUGGCUAAGGGAGGCUCAGGGACCUUCGACACGUCGAUGUAUUCUGUGAGUGGGCAGUUUUGUUUUCCGUAUAUAUAUAUACUUGACGUUUCCCAGAAAUUGAAUUGAAAUGAAAAUAUGUUUAAAAUGAAAUGCAUAUGAGUUAUGUGGAAAAACGGGAAGUGAAAUACCAUGCAUAGAAUUGAUAUGAAAAGUAUAUAGAAAUGUGAGUUGAAAUGCCAUGCAUGAAUUAAUAUAUGAUGCAUAUGUAUGAAUUGGUGCGGUGGACGCACAUGUAAGAAUUGAUUUAUGAUGCAUAUGUAUGAAAUGGUGCGGUGGACGCACAGGUGAGUAUUUAUUUCUGUUAUGAUGAUGUUGAUGUAUAUUGAGCUCAAAUCCUGCACCAUAGUUUAGUGCUUAUAGUAUUCACCGCAUCGCACGCUCGCUUUGGAUCCAAGUAGAUGCUAGUCGUACAGUCCACGCGGAGUGGGUACGACAGGCCAGUCGCGAGAGUGUUAGUGAGAUUCCGACUGGUGGGUGACCUUAGAUUAUGUGCACAGAUGAUUUAUGAGAAGCACUAGAGCGUAACUUAUGUGCAGAAGGCCGUACAGGUCACGCGGAGUGACUCCGGCAGAGCGUGAGAGUGAUAGAUUUUAAGCUCUAGGUUCAACCGGGCUAAUAGAGGGCCUCCGGUUGAUUACUUUAUUGCACUUGAUAUGAUUUAUGUUGAUGCAUUCAUACCUUAUUACUGUUGAGAUGAUGUGGCAUGGCAUAAAUUAAUAUGAGAAAUGUUGAGAUUGACAUGGCAUGGCAUAAUUAUGAUGAAAAUGUUGAGUUAAUGAAUUGAAGUAUUGAGAAUAUAUAUAUGUAUAUUUAUAUUUUAUAUUUCUGGGAAAGUAUACAGGUUUUACGGAGAGGGGUUACAACGUUUUGAGAAAUGUUUGGAUUUGGAAAAGAAUUGUUUUACUGACCCACUCAAUUUUGGUUUUGCGCCCCUCCAGGUUCAGGAAUCACAAAGGUGUGGUGACUACGAGGAAUUUGACGGUGUUCUGACAGAUUGGACAAAAUUAGGACUCACCUUCGGGUGUAUCAACUUAUAAAUUGUAUCUUAAAGCUUCCGUACUGUGCAAAUGGUUACGUCACUCUCACGUGACGGCCAGCAUGCCCUCCUUCGGGACGGGGUGUGUCAGUUGGUAUCAGAGCAUGGUUGCAAUCUUGGACAUCUUGAGAAGUUCUAGUGAAUUCUGUCAGAACUACACCGCCUCGUAGUAAGCCACUUAGUUGGAGGAAUUUAGUCUCCCUAAUAUAGCGGUUUAGGGAAAACUAUUAUUAUGGUGAUUCAGUCUAUUAUAAAAAGGGACAUUUUAAGACGGGUUAUGAGUCGAAUUUGAAUCACCUUAUGAAAUGAUGAACCUGAGGGAGCGAAGUAACGGUUUAACCAUUUGGAAAAGAUGUUUCAGAUUAUGCAAGUUAAAGGAAAUUUCCUUCUGACAAGGGGUCGAGACAACUACCUGGUUUUGGGUAUGAAUUUGUAUCCUGGUGGAAACAGGAUUGUUAAUUGUUGUCACCGGAGGAAACAGCUGAUUGAGAAUUAUUUAAGGACUUGUUUAAGGAAAAGUUUAUCCCUCCGGCAUUUAUCGAUGGUAGUAAGCAAGAGUUUGCAAAUGUGAAUCAAGGAAGUUGACGAUAAAUGAAUAUUAUAGAAAGUUUUCAGACUUGCCUCGUUCCAUCCAGAUAUUUGAGACAAGGUGUCUCGAGUAAAGGAAAUGUACCUUGUGCAGCAGGUACAAAAUUAACACUUUGAGAAAUGUGAAAUCAAGGAAUGUGUUUAUGUGAACAGAGGGGACGCAGAAUUGUGAAUCGUCCCUAGAAUCAGUUGUACUCAACAAUUUUCCAUGAUAUCAUAGUGUCGAUUCAGCAGAGUUAUGGACUUAGUAGUUUGGUCGGAUUGACCGUGAGUACAGAGAGAUUUGAUGAGUUAUAUGUUCAGCCGUACAGACCAUGAGAAAUGGAUUCGACUGACACAUGAGAAAUUGGUGAGUUAUAGGUUCGGCCGUACCGACCACGCGGAGUGGAUCCGGCCGACGUAUUAUUGAGAUAAGAGUUGAAUCAGCCGUAUUGAUCAUUCUAGUUGACUUCGGCUGAUAUAUUUCUUAUUAUGUAUGUUAUAUCUUUGAGAGUGGUUGCCUACUUAUCGAGACAACGAUGAUUUAUCAGUAUUGCGGGCUGCAGACCGUAAUAUUAAUAACUCAUUCGUGGAUUCGUUAAGUAAGUAAACCGGUAGAUUAUUUUAUAUUAGUAUUGUACUUAUUCAGAAUGCUUAGUAGUAAUAAAGUAUGUAUUGGGUCAGUUAAUUUUAUCCCAUUAGAUUGAUUGUUUAUAGUUGUGACUAGAUGGAAUGUUACGGGAAACCAGUUACUUUCCAUCGAGUUGAUUAAUUAGAGGUUACUUUGGUGGGCAUACAAAGUGAAAUGAGUUCAGCCAUUAUUUAUGCUGUGAAAGCAAAGAUAUUGUUUGAAAGGCUGCCCAAAAAUACUUAGUUCAUGUGGUGCUAAAUGAUGUUGUUUGGAGUAGUGUGAAUAAUGUCGAAAGGGUUAGACUUUUCUUGAUGUCUUCCCUGAAAGUAUACCUGGAUUGCCUUCAGGCAGAGAUAUGAGAUUCACUAUUGAUUUGUUGCCAGGUAUAGAUUUAUGUUAAAGAUUGGUUCAUGAUGAGUUAAGGGAAUUGGAAAUUCAGUUGAAAGAAUUGGUUGAUAAAAGUUUUAUUCAACCUAGUACAACGCUUUGGGGGAACCCCAGUUCGUUGGUGAGAAAGAAAAUGGAUUUUAAGACUGUUCAUUGAUUAUAGACAAUGGAGUCGGGUAACGAUUGAGAACCGUUAUCCAUGGUGAUGUACUGAUGUUUAUUUAACCAGCUCAGAAGUAAUUGCGAAGAUUCAAAGAUUGAAUUGAGAUCUGGUUACUACCAAUUGAAUAUUAUAAGUGACGUUGAUCAUAAGAUGGUUUUCUGGACUUGUUAUGGUCCUUAUGAAGUUUGGUGAUGCUAUGUGGAUACUCAUGCUGUUUUAUGAGUUGAUGGAUGAAGUAUUCCAAUAAUGCCUUGAUAAAUUGACAUCAUUUUCAUUGAAGAUAUUCUGGCAUAUUCUGAGUCAGAGCAGAGCUUGUAAACGUAUUAAGUCGGUGAAGCAAAGAUUGAGAGAACGUUGGUUGUAUGCUAAGUAGCAAAUGCUAAAGUUAGAUGAAUCAGGUGGCAUUCUGAGAUUUGUUAUAUAUUCUUAAGGUAUUCAAGUGAAUCCUUAAAAGAUAGCAGAAAUUGAGGAAUUGGAACAACCACGAGCUGUAAUUGAGAUUCGGAAUUUCUUAGCUUACCAGGCUAUCUUGGAUUUGUAUUGAUACAAAUGUUAGGGUGAUUGCAUACGUUUCACGACAAAUGGAAUCUCAUGAGAUGAAUUACCCUACUGGUGAUUUGGAAGUCACGAUUACCAUCAUUGCGUUGAAGUUAUGGAGACCUUAAAUGUUGAUAAGAAUGCAAGAUUUUACGAAUCCAAAAGUCUUCAAUAUUCAUUACUUGGAAAGAUUUUGAUAUGAGGCAGCGAAAGUGAAUUGUAUUGUUAAAUGAACAUGAUUGUACGAUCAGGGUGAUCGUAGAAUGUUCUAGCUGAAGCAUUUGGUGAGAAGACUACAGUAAGAUUAAUGUCAGGCACGCUUGCCAAGAUUAUCUUCUCGUGGAUUGAAAAUCAAUUAAAGUAAAGUUAAGAAUGAAAGAUCGAGAAGAAGUUAUACUUGUUAAUUUUCAAGUUAGGCCUGUUUGGUAAGGUCGUACUUGAAACUUAAAUGUUUGACGAGGAAUUUAAGAAUUAACCAAGGCAAGGAAAGAAAGGAAAAAGAAUGAGUACAUGAUUCGUGAAUCAAAUGGUAUGUGGAUACAAGAAAGUAAGAAGUAUGUACCGAAUGCUGAGGAUUUAAAGCAAGCAAUUUUGGACGAAGUACACUGUACAACUUCUGCAAUAUUCCAAAAGUAUUGAGAUCUAGUAUACCAUUUGACGUUUUUAUUGGUCAACAGAUUGAAGUAGAAAGAAGUAAACCUUUGGAUUGAGACGGUUAUUUUCUGUUUCGCAGUGGAAAUGGAAAAACUAUUACUUUGGAUUAUGUGUACAAGUUUCAUGAUACAUAGGAUGGUUAUGAUUGAAUUUGAAGCGAUAGUUGGUCAAUGUACCAAGUUAGUACAUUUACUCCAGGGUUGAGUAACGGUACUUAUUUGUUUUAUAGAAAGAAGAAUUGGUUUACGGAACUGCUAAGUUUCUUAAGUAUGUUGGUUGCGCAGUUUCCGAAGUGAAGCCAUAAGGUUCAUGAAGUGUGUCAUGUGUGUGCUUUGUUGACUUGUGAAUGGAAUAUUUCUGGGUAGAGAAAGAUUCGAUCAAGAAAGAGUUUUUGUAAACCCUGAGACUAUGGAUGAGUCUCCUCAAAGUAUUCAGGUGAUUAAGUUAACCUGAAGAAACCAGGAAUGGCAAAAGAGAUCAACAGAUGAAUAUACCACUAAUCGAGUGUAUAACGUAGAUGAUUUUAUAUUUUUGGAAAUUUCACCAUGAAAAGAAAUAGCAAGAUUUGGAAAGGAAGACAAGAUAAGUCUUAGACACAUCAGAUCGAUUUGAUCACUAAAGGAAUCGAUGAAGUUGCAUACAAGUGGUGAUGUCUUCAGAGUUGGCUAAGGUACUUAAUGUAUUUUGGGUUCGAUACGUUGUCACUAGGUGGCAAAUUCGUCAUAUGAGAUCCUGAUGCAACUAUUGAGAAUUAAAUUGGAUUCGACUUGAUAAGGAACCAAGGAUGACUUUGGAUUGGAAAAAGAAGGUCCUGAGAAUUAAGACAGAGUAAGUGGUAAAAGCUUUGUGAAGGAAAUCAUUCAGUGGAAAAUUAUGUGAGAGGAAAAGAAUCGGAUGAGAGAUUUUUAACCGAAGCUAUUGUUGGAGUAUGGUUGAUUUAGUUGGUUGCUGGAAUUUCGGGGACGAAAUUCUAUAAGGAGGGAAGAUUGUCACAGCCCGUCCCGGAAUUUUAAUUCCGAGGACGUGAAAAGACCAAAAUGCCCUUAAGCGGGACUAAGGGGUGAAAAUUUAACAAUUGGAUUUACAUUAGUAUGUUUAAAGUUGUGUUUGGGAUUUAAGUAGGGCCUCCUACCCUGAUUCCCUCCCCAUUUCCCGUAUGUACUCUCUCUCUCUUCCUCAGACCUCACUUUCUCUCUCCCUCUCCUUCGAACUCACACGGACCACCACAAAACCACCCUAAAUCUAUACCAACGUCAAGUUUGAGACCACCAUUGGAAUCCUGAGGACUUCACGAUCACGUUGGUAUCCAUUUCAGGUAAGUUUUUGCUUCGGAAAACCCCUAGUUUCAAAGUUCCCGUGAAGAGCACUGUUCAUGAUCUUCGAAUUGGCUUUGUUUUAGGUGAAACCAAGCUCACAGUGAGCUUAAAGAAGUCCCAAGGAAGCUCGGAGUGCUUCGUUGGAAGUUUUUGGACGUAAGAACACGGAGAUCGACAAGUUCAAAGUUUGGCCGGAACUUUCGAGGCAUUUUCCGGCGAAUCCCCGGCGAGUUAGAAGUCGAGGUAGAUAUCAAUCUCUUCGUCUCGUCAAGUACUACAACUUUCCUUUUUGUUUCACUCAAUUUCGUUG
Molecule: long non-coding RNA, 6731 nt
Filed under: Malus domestica (apple)
Lineage: Eukaryota; Viridiplantae; Streptophyta; Magnoliopsida; Rosales; Rosaceae
Description: long non-coding RNA (MDOM_LNC019392)
Source: RNAcentral